GAUGAACGCUGGCGGCGUGCCUAACACAUGCAAGUCGAACGAAGUGGCGAACGGGUGAGUAACGCGUAAUCAACCUGCUCUUCAGAGGGGGUCACUAGUUGGAAACGACUGCUAUUACCGCAAACUGAAGGAAGGGAUUGCGUGUGAUUAGCUAGUUGGAGGGGUAACGGCUCAAAAAGGCGAUGAUCAGUAGCCGGUCUGAGAGGAUGAACGGCCACAUUGGGACUGAGACACGGCCCAGACUCCUACGGGAGGCAGCAGUGGGGAAUCUUCCGCAAUGGACGAAAGUCUGACGGAGCAACGCCGCGUGAGUGAUGACGGCCUUCGGGUUGUAAAGGACUUUUGUCAGGGAAGCGGUACCUGAAGAAUAAGCACCGGCUAACUACGUGCCAGCAGCCGCGGUAAUAC
This 408-nucleotide ribosomal RNA is filed under the name uncultured bacterium. Its description in RNAcentral is "partial 16S ribosomal RNA". It matches the Rfam family "Bacterial small subunit ribosomal RNA", at positions 28 to 526 of the family's 1533-position model. The record is from RNAcentral.